This 21-nucleotide transfer RNA is filed under the name Urtica parviflora. RNAcentral describes it as "partial tRNA-Ser". The record is from RNAcentral. Lineage: Eukaryota; Viridiplantae; Streptophyta; Magnoliopsida; Rosales; Urticaceae.
CGUCCACUCAGCCAUCUCUCC